Molecule: long non-coding RNA, 3224 nt
Filed under: Equus caballus (horse)
Lineage: Eukaryota; Metazoa; Chordata; Mammalia; Perissodactyla; Equidae
Description: lncRNA (ENSECAG00000056246.1)
Source: RNAcentral
GGAUUUACUACCUUUUAUUAUCCUUAGAGAGUUUGAAGUCUGAAUAAAUUACCUCCAGACCUGAGCCCUCUGUCUUCAGACUUGUUUUGCUUCCUUAUAAUUGCUCUUAGAAGAAAGAUAGAUAAAUUAGUCAGAUGUUCUACGUUGUAUAGAACGCGUUCUGUUCACAGAACCUAGGUAGGGUGUGGACCCUCCCUGUGCUUCUUCAUCAUGAAUUUCGGUGGAUUCCAUAUUCGUACCACAUGUCAAAAACCGUGCCUGGUAACCUUGGCGUCACAGACUGGGUGGUCAUUAAAUAUUGCUAACCAGCUGACCAGCUGACUUACACACUUAAAAAAAAUUCGCUCUGUUGGUGGUUUUGGUGAAAUCCCCCUUGGGAGGCAAUGUAACAGGGUUCUGUGUAAGCAAGGGUUAUGGUUCACUGAGCGAGUCUGUGUAUGGGGACAGGCUGCUGCUGGCAGAAGGCGGACGUCCUCACAGGGUGAUUUGAGGACUGUCCGGAAGCUACAAAGCCGUGCCUGAACUCCUGACGACAUGUUUUUCAAGAAUCCUUUCUUAGUGUUGAUGCAAAUGCAUGUAAGUGGUAAGUCGCUCUGCCGUUACCAGUACUAAUACCUCUGUGUGAGUUAGUUCUCAAAUCCUUUCUUGCUUUUUUAAAAUUUUAUUUUAUCGUUAGAAGAACACAACAUUCGAUCUGCCCUCUUGACAAAUCUUUAAGUUGACAACAGGUACCUUGCUGCACGGCAGAUUUCCAGAACUUACUCAUCUUGCUUGACUGGGACCUUUGGGUAUUGACUAGUAACUCCCCAUUGACCCCAGCCGCAGCUCCUGGCAAGCACCAUGUUACUCUUUAAUUCUGUGAAUUGGACUGUUUCAGAUACCUCAUGCAGAUGGAAUCAUGCUCUCUGAAAAAAUUAAGACUAGGACCAUCAUAUGAUCAAGGAAUCCCACUUCUGGGUAUUUAUCCAAAAGAAUUGGAGCCAGGCUCUUGAAGAGAUGUUAGUCCUAUGUUCAUUGCAGCACUAUUCGCAAUAGCCAAGAGGUGGAAUCAAAUCCUUUCUGAGAUCACAUUGGAGGGCAGGUUUUGACAAAGGUGGAGGGGUAGAGACAGGCCCAGAACAAGGUACACCAUACUUAGGAUGAACUCACAGUUUACAAUCCAAACUGGUCCAUUUGGGGGACCAUGUAUGUAUGUGGGGGUCAGUAUUAACAUUAUCUGCGACAACAGGAAUAAACCAGGACUGCCUGUUCCAUUGUUUGGCAAGGUGAGGGGGACAUUGUUUGGGGGUCUCACUUUUCAGCCUUACAGUUUUGCCGGGCACUUUGGGGAGUGGAGGCGAGAGAUGGACAAACAGCUGUAGAGGAUUCCCUGUCCGGAUCUCCACACAAGGACUUCUCAGAGGGCUGCUCAGGUCCUGGUGCAAAGAGCACGUCCCCGGAAAUGGGGGCCCUGAGUGCCCAGUCUAGAGGAGUCCAUCUCCACCCCCGUGACACCCUAAGGAUCCCUCACUUUGCUGACCUAGUCUUUAGCCGAUGCAAUCUCCUUCUCUAUUUGCUUACGUCUUCAUCGUCCGUCUCUCUCUGCCAGAAUACAGCAGGACCUUGGGGGCUAGUUUGUUUCUGGGUCUCCAGUGCCCAGCACAUUGCUGACCCCAUGGGCACUGAAGCAAUGUUGUCCGAAGAAUUCAACACUCAGUUAGUUGAGUCGCAUAGACUCUCAUAGUGAGGCGGGUACCUGGUGAGGCUGGCAGGAGGGAGAGGGCAGUACUGCUUGAUUUGCAUGGCUAGACAGGACUGAGAUGCAGGACAUCCCAGGCAGCACACUCUGACCUUGGCCUUGAGUGUAACAGUGAUUUCCCCUGCAAAGGCAGUCCCAGGAGGAUGCAUGCCCCUCCCCCUGCCCGCCAGCUCCACUGUGGCUGCAUCUCAUGAUAAUUGCUCUUUUCAUCCUAGAAAAAUGAUGCCUGCCUUGGUCUAUUUCUUUUAAUGGAAACCCCUUAAUAGCCCUGAAACAAAUGAUUGUUUUGUGAGCAACUGGCUCCAUGGGACCUCUCUCUAGGAAAUAAAACUGAGUGAUUGGAAGAGGGAACAGUGCUACUCAUCAGCCCUAAAGUGAGAUGGGACCUGUGUGAAAGGAAGUGCCUUGGAGAUGAACUUAUUAGACUCUUGAUCAGAACAGAACUCCUACAAAUAAAGAAGAAAAACAUGACAUGAGGAAAUUUCACAGUGACUCUUUUUUUUUGUUUUGCUGAGGAAGAUUAGCCCUGAGCUAACAUCUGCACCAAUCUUCCUCCACUUUAUAGGUGGGUUGCCGCCACAGCAUGGCAGACGAGUGGUGUACAUCCGCGUCCAGGAUCCAAACCCAUAAACCCAGGCCGCUGAAGCGGAAUGCGCCAAACUUAAACACUACAUCACAGGGCAGGCCCUGAAGUGACUUUUUUUUUUUUACUAUUAGGACAAUAGAUUUCAGCUUUUUGUUUUCUCAAAAGUGUCUCUAUGAAAAGAGAGGUUUUUAAAAGGUAUAUUCACACUAACCGUGUGUGAACUCUCUGCUGCCUGAAACCAUCGGUGCAGACAUUUCUGUGGAUAAGGAAAUCUUCACGACUUGAGCCUCCGUGAAAAGCAGCCUCAGGGGCUUCCUCUCCUUGGAGCAAGGAGACAGUAUACACGUCAAAGUUAAUGCUGGUGGCUUCUACAUGGAGUCUGUCAGACCUUGUCAGCAGAGAACUUUGUCAGCUUGAUGAUGGCUUGACAGAGAGGAAAGUUUCAGCGAGGACUGUGCAGCGUCAUUGGAUUUGGGAGCUGGAAGGGAUCUUGGAAUUCUCCAUUCCGACUGCCAUUAUUUUGCAGAUGAAAAAAGAUGAUGUUUAGGAAAGUGCGGCCCCUCCAGGCUCUCACCAUGCACAAGGGCAGACGGAGGCGUGGAGAUGAUGUUUCCUGACCCCCAGGCCAUUCCAAUCCUCACACCUUCGUUUUCCAAAUCUUAGACUGAUCCUUCCCGACCGCCCUCCUGCCCCGGCUCCCUUCUUCAGAUUCUUCUAAUGUUGGUUAACUCCAGGCGACGGGUUCUUAACUUGGGUCUGAAGACCUCUAGGGACUCCAGGAAUUAGCUUCAGAUACACCACGAAGGCACUUAAACUGUGUGAAAUAUUCAUAAAGGUUGUCAGAUGUGCACUUUUCAGGAGUAAGGGUCUAUGGCAUUCAUUAUAUCCCCUCAAAGGAAU